UACGUGAGGGGCAAGCGUUGUCCGGAAUCAUUGGGCGUAAAGAGCGUGUAGGCGGCUCGAUAAGUCCGCUCUGAAAGCCGGGGCUCAACCCCGGGAGGCGGGCGGAAACUGUCGGGCUAGAGUCCGGAAGAGGCGAGUGGAAUUCCCGGUGUAGCGGUGAAAUGACGCAGGUAUCGGGAGGAACACCAAUGGCGAAGGCAGCUCGCUGGGACGUGACUGACGCUGAGAGACGAAAGCUAGGGGAGCGAAGUGGG
RNAcentral lists this ribosomal RNA (254 nucleotides) under uncultured bacterium. RNAcentral describes it as "partial 16S ribosomal RNA". It matches the Rfam family "Bacterial small subunit ribosomal RNA", at positions 524 to 777 of the family's 1533-position model. The record is from RNAcentral.